RNAcentral lists this long non-coding RNA (979 nucleotides) under Eucalyptus grandis. RNAcentral's name for it is "long non-coding RNA (EGRA_LNC001830)". Lineage: Eukaryota; Viridiplantae; Streptophyta; Magnoliopsida; Myrtales; Myrtaceae. The record is from RNAcentral.
CAUGAGAUCGGGUUGGCCAAUUUUAAAUAAAUCACAAAUCGAAUCUCGGGCGGGAGAUUGGAUUAGCGAUUUUUUAAGUGAUUUCGAGUCGGAUUUUCGGGCGCGAAAAUCGGACUGUCAAUCCCAAAUUUAUUAGGCUAUUUCAUGUCAAACAUCUCAUCCUUACACUAAGGAAUAACUAUGCUAAAGAGAACAAAUAAAGUAAAAGAAGAUAAAUAAAUAAAAGAAAAGACUACCUAAAUUGAUUUUUCCUUUUUGUUUUUCUUUUCUUGCUUUCUUCACCCACGGCUGGGCAGCUUCUGUGGAUCACCAGGGAGACUUAGCUCACGGCUGGGAUGGCCGCUGCUGUUGCGACGGGCGACCGUGGGCGGUGGACACGGUCGUCGGAGGAACUCCGGCAAAGGGGCAGCGAACACGCGGCGAGGGAGGAGCCGGAGUCGAGUGCGGUUGGGGCGGGCAGCGAACUGCUGUGAUGCCGGGUCAGCGAACUCAGGACAGCGGGGGCGUCGUGGCUGGUGGUCUUUGGCGGACUGAGAGGCAGCGACGCGGGCAGCAGCAGGUGUGCCGUGAUGAAGGAGCGCGACUUGGCUUGGUCUGGACAACGAAAUCAGCAGCUCGUAUUCCUCAACCCAAGGAGCGGCAACUGGAUCGGCAGAGAUCAGCAAAUGUACAGAGACUUGGGGCAAUAGCAACGUCUUCACCGGAACAUGGAAAGCAACCAAGUUGGUCGCAGCUCGCUUGCUGCCCAGGGAGUGGAGCGACGGCUCUAUGGUGCAGCGGCGGGUGAGUCGGAGACGUGGGUUGUUGCAGGAGGACCAGCAACAGGUCGAACGGAGACGUGGCUCUUCGUGGUCCCGGGAGUGGCGGUGGGUCGUCAGCGUCGAGUGGAGACACGGGUUGCUGCGACGAGCGCUACAGGUUGCUGGCGUCAACGGCAAGGACGGUGGCGCGGCGUCGGAGACCGUGGUUAGGCGUGGCG